RNAcentral lists this ribosomal RNA (470 nucleotides) under uncultured Glomus. RNAcentral's name for it is "SSU rRNA". It matches the Rfam family "Eukaryotic small subunit ribosomal RNA", at positions 569 to 1045 of the family's 1831-position model. The record is from RNAcentral. Lineage: Eukaryota; Fungi; Glomeromycota; Glomeromycetes; Glomerales; Glomeraceae.
AGCAGCCGCGGUAAUUCCAGCUCCAAUAGCGUAUAUUAAAGUUGUUGCAGUUAAAAAGCUCGUAGUUGAAUUUCGGGACUAAUAUGUCGGUCGUACUUUGUACGUACUAGCAUUAUUGGUUUCUCCCUUCUGACGAACCACGAUGUCAUUAAUUUGGUGUCAUGGGAAAUCAGGACUGUUACUUUGAAAAAAUUAGAGUGUUUAAAGCAAGCUCGCGCUUGAAUACAUUAGCAUGGAAUAAUGAAAUAGGACGUUUGAUUCUAUUUUGUUGGUUUCUAGGAUCGACGUAAUGAUUAAUAGGGAUAGUUGGGGGCAUUAGUAUUCAAUUGUCAGAGGUGAAAUUCUUGGAUUUAUUGAAGACUAACUACUGCGAAAGCAUUUGCCAAGGAUGUUUUCAUUAAUCAAGAACGAAAGUUAGGGGAUCGAAGACGAUCAGAUACCGUCGUAGUCUUAACCAUAAACUAUGCCGA